CAAUGCUGUGAAACGUUAUCCUUCUGGUCUUGUGGUUUGUUUAUUAUUGUGUAUUGCAUACUACUCAGCAACUUACAGUGUCGAGUAAUUGGCAACGAGUUUCCCAGUUGUUAGUUCAAAUUAGUGAGGCCCUGAUGACACAGAGAAUGGUGACACCUGGCUGUGGAGAAAGUUUCAGUCUGACCCUUGAUGCAGUCAGAACAGUGGUUCACUUUAUUCAUAUUUUUCGGAAAGCGAUCCAGAGACAGAACAGUUACAUAACAGUAUCAACUCCAUGUGACUGUGUCUUUUGCAAUCAGAGAAUGUUCUUUUCAUUUGGAUCUACAGCUUCCUAUUGAUGGAAUAUAGUGAUAUUUUAAAUCACCUUGACUUUCUUUAGCCUUUUGCUCUCUUGAGCCAUGUGUCGCACCUUAAAUCCUAGACACUGCUCUCUUUGUGCGGGUCCCAGCCAUUUCUUUUGCUCCACUUGGGCUUGGUGCAGUGGGUGUUCGGGAUCACUGGCUCCAUUGUUGACACAGUUUCACCAGAAACGUGGGAGUCAGGGGACUGAGUCAACAGCAGCAAACAAAACUUAGUGUCGGAAACGCAAAGCAAAAUGUCAUAUUGGUCCAGGGAACAUGAGGGGCUAGAAGCAAUUAAAAGGCUCUUGUUGGGAAAGCAGCAGGUGUCUCUGACAAGACCUGUCAGCCCUUGCAGAGCUUGCUCUCUCCCUCCCUUUUCACACCAUUGUUUUUCCAUCUUUCAUCCCACGUAGAAGUUACCUGGCAUCAGCACUUGGCAGCUGCGGCCAUUUCACCGCUAUUCCCCUUCAUUUCAGACCCAUCGCUUCAUGACACCACCUUGAUCGUAGGACUCCCAGUUUCUCCUCAUCACUGCAGGCAAACAUGAAGAGGCAGAACUGAUGAGAACAAUGGGGCAAAGGGAAUAGCAGCCAGCCAAGCUGCAACUCAUUAGGACAGCAAUUUUCCCCCAAGCCAGGUCAUGUUUUCUAGACCUUUAAUCAUUUUUGUUGCUGUCCUCUGGACUUCCUCCAGUCUGUGUACCUCUUUUCCUGAAGUCUGGUGUCCAGAACUGGGCACCACAUCCCAGCUGAGGCCUUACCAGCACGGAGUUGAGAGGAAGAAUUACUUCUCCUGGGUUGCUUACAACACUCCUGCUACUACAUCCCAGAUUGAUGUUUGCUUUCUUUGCACCAGUGUUACACUGUUGACUCAUCGUUAUUUUAUGAUCCACUAUAACCACCAGAUCCUUUUCUGCAGUAUGCCUUCCGAGGGCAUCCUUUCCCACUUUGUAUUUGUACAAUUGAUUAAUCCUUUGUAAGUGAUGUGUAGUACUUUGCAUUUGUCCUUAUUGAAUUUCUCCAGUCUGCUAAGACCACUUUGAAUUCUAAUCAUGUCCUCCAGCUUGCAUCCUCUCCCAGCUUGGUAUCCUCUGCAAACAGUGUACUUUCUAUGCCAUUAUACACAAUUUCUGAAGAUAUUGAAUAGAAUUGGACCCAGGCCAGAUCCCUGCACAUCCCCACUUGAUAUGCCCUUCCAGCUUGACUGAGAAUCAUUGAUGAUUACUCUGUGUCCGGUUUUCCAACCAAUCAUGCACCCACCUUAUGCUAGGUUAGUCUAGGCCAUUUUCCCUAGUUUGUUUAUGAGAAGGUCAUGUGAGACUAUCAAACGCCUUACUAAAGUUGAGAUAUACUACUUUUA
This is a non-coding RNA of Caretta caretta (loggerhead turtle), 1700 nucleotides long. The record is from RefSeq and is a predicted model, not a curated record. Lineage: Eukaryota; Metazoa; Chordata; Testudines; Cheloniidae.